UACGUAGGGUGCGAGCGUUGUCCGGAAUUAUUGGGCGUAAAGGGCUCGUAGGCGGUUUGUCGCGUCGGGAGUGAAAACCUUGGGCUUAACUCAGGGCUUGCUUUCGAUACGGGCAGACUAGAGGUAUGCAGGGGAGAACGGAAUUCCUGGUGUAGCGGUGAAAUGCGCAGAUAUCAGGAAGAACACCUAUGGCGAAGGCAGCUCUCUGGGACGGUACUGACGCUGAGACGCGAAAGCGUGGGGAGCGAACAGG
RNAcentral lists this ribosomal RNA (253 nucleotides) under uncultured bacterium. RNAcentral's name for it is "partial 16S ribosomal RNA". It matches the Rfam family "Bacterial small subunit ribosomal RNA", at positions 524 to 776 of the family's 1533-position model. The record is from RNAcentral.